CCAGUUGGUUCUUAUUCUUGGUGAUCUAAACUACCCUCUCUCCACCCUUUUUUUUUUUUUUUUUUUUUUGGCAUCAGCAGCAUUUCAAUCAAUGGUUUUUGAGAGUCUUCUUACACAAUGUAGGCGGUUCUGUGUUUUGGAAGAAGUGUCACAUUAGACUCCAGCCAACAGGGAGGGAGGACAGGAGGAAAGGUAUGGAGCCAGAGUGUGAUGGAACAACACUGAAAGCUUCAGGCACCGGCAGGAACAGGGACAGCCACCUCUCCAGUUUCCCCACUGACCCUGCAGAAAAUGAGUCAUGAUUUAUCUCCUCAAACUUCCUGGAAAAGCCAGCCAAGAGCUUAAAGUAGAUAAGAAGCUCCUUAUGGCCUACCUUUGUUAUUCAUUUACUUUAAAGGAAGAUGCAUCUUUAAGACAACAGCUUCUUUUGUCAGGUGUGGUGUUGAGUCUUUUAUAUCCCGUAUUAGGAACAGUGUACCUAUCAUUUUAGUCACGGCUUCCUGUGCACCACCAGGGCCUUAAAAUGCUGAGACAGAGUUAUGCACAGGUAUGUCAAUGUCAUAAACUAUGAAAAUAAAUGUGGCCAAGUUUUAAAGGCAAGUUAAGUGUCCACAGUCAAAGAAGGAAGGCGGCACUGCAUUGAGCUAAAUGGGGCAGAGUCAAAAUCCUGGGUUCUGGAACUGGCUUGGCCUCCAAGCAACCCAGCCUCCGAGCCUUAGUCCCACUUCUGCAAAGUAAUGCUGGUUAGUGAGAUAAUCUCCAAAGCUUUGAAGUAAGCUCCACUUGAGCUUCCACUUUCACAACUUCAAGGUCAACUCUGUACUUAGGAAAGACGAUCCACGGCUUCUGAGAGGGCAACAGGCUUGCAAGAUGAGGAGGUCCGGUUUCUGUCCAGGGAAAGCAUGCGGGCCCCAAAGACGUCUUUUUGUGUAGAUAGAGUGAGUGAGUCUACUACAACUUUUUAUUGUUUCUUUGCUCAUUUUGAUGUCCACAGAGCCCAGGUUUUCCACAGCGGACAUCCCCUUCCACACCACGGAAGCUUCUCCCUCUCCAGGUUGCUGGGGUGGGGCUAUGUCUCCCUGGGUGCCACACACCCUUUAAUGCUGAUGUCCCCAGGCUUUGCCCUCCCUUGCCUUUCGCUUUUCACCUAAGCAAACUAGGGGCAAAAUAUAGGUGAUUCUGACCAAUUCUGGGCACCUUAUUUUCAAAGAACCAAUGGGGAAGUCACUUGGUGAAUAUGUGCCAGACCCAGUCCUGGGCUCUUUCUAUGCUUUAUCUAAUUUAACCCACACACCCCCCUUAUGCAGUAGGUCCUCAUACCAACAAGUUUCUGAUAAGGAAACAGACUUGGAGAGGGUGAGUCAUUUGUUCAAGGUCACUCAGCUAGCAAGCAGCAGAAGGAACAUUUGAACCCAGGUCUCAUACCAUACAAAUCACCCUUUUUUUUUUUUUUGAGACAGAGUCUCACUCUGUUGACCAGACUGGAGUGCAGUGGCGCAGUCUCGGUUCACUGCAACCUCCAACUCCCAGGUUCAAGCAAUUUUCCUGCCUCAGCCUCCCGAGUAGCUGGGAUUACAGAUGUGUGCCACCAUGCUCGGCUAAUUUUUGUAUUUUUAGUAGAGCUGGGGUUUCUACAUGUUGGCCAGGCUGGUCUCGAACUCCUGACCAGCCUCCCAAAGUGCUGGGAUUACAGGCAUGAGCCACCCAUUUAAAGUAUACAGUUCAGUGGUUCUCAGUAUCUUCACGGAUAUGUGCAACCAUCACUCCAGUCAACUUGAGAAUAUUUCCAACACCUCAAAAAGAAACCUCAUCUCACCUUCCUAUCUCUCUACCCGCCAGUACCCCACUCCCAGGUAGGCAAGUACUACUCAAUUUUCUGUCUCUGUAGACUUCUCCAUUCUGGACUUUCACCUAAAUGGAUCAUACAGUGCAUGAUCUUUGCGACUGGCUUUUUUUUUU
Molecule: long non-coding RNA, 1959 nt
Filed under: Homo sapiens (human)
Lineage: Eukaryota; Metazoa; Chordata; Mammalia; Primates; Hominidae
Description: HSALNT0155647
Source: RNAcentral